GGGUUGCAAAGAUUGUGGCAAAGUGAAAGCAGGAGGGGCUUACACGUUGAAUACUGCUAGUGCCGUCACUGUGAGGAGUACCAUUAGAAGGUUGAGGGAGCAGACAGAGAGCUAAAUUGACUUCCAGAUUUAUCGUUCUAUCUACCAAUGAGGUUGCACGGAGUAAUUUUGUUGAGGUUCUCGAGUCGUCUUUUAGUUUCCAUAUAUUUUUUGCCAACUUUGAAUCUUCUCAAACGAAAGUUCAGAAAUUGAUCAGUUUGUUGAAUCUACUUUUGACGAUAAUGAAUGUG
RNAcentral lists this unclassified non-coding RNA (290 nucleotides) under Hevea brasiliensis (rubber tree). The record is from RNAcentral. Lineage: Eukaryota; Viridiplantae; Streptophyta; Magnoliopsida; Malpighiales; Euphorbiaceae.